Molecule: unclassified non-coding RNA, 378 nt
Filed under: plant metagenome
Description: partial contains 5.8S ribosomal RNA, internal transcribed spacer 2, and large subunit ribosomal RNA
Rfam family: 5.8S ribosomal RNA (bases 1-105)
Source: RNAcentral
GAAAUGCGAUAAGUAAUGUGAAUUGCAGAAUUCAGUGAAUCAUCGAAUCUUUGAACGCACCUUGCGCUCCUUGGUAUUCCUUGGAGCAUGCCUGUUUGAGUAUCAAGAAAUCUUCAAAGUAAAUCUUUUGUUAACUCAAUUGGUUUCUACUUUGGUAUUGGAGGUCUUUGCAGCUUCACACCUGCUCCUCUUUGUUCAUUAGCUGGAUCUCAGUGUUAUGCUUGGUUCCACUCGGCGUGAUAAGUUAUCUAUCGCUGAGGACACUGUAAAAGGUGGCCAAGGUAAAUGCAGAUGAACCGCUUCUAAUAGUCCAUUGACUUGGACAAUACUUUUAUGAUCUGAUCUCAAAUCAGGUAGGACUACCCGCUGAACUUAAGC